UACGAAGGGGGCUAGCGUUGUUCGGAAUUACUGGGCGUAAAGCGCACGUAGGCGGAUCGAUCAGUCAGGGGUGAAAUCCCAGGGCUCAACCCUGGAACUGCCUUUGAUACUGUCGAUCUGGAGUAUGGAAGAGGUGAGUGGAAUUCCGAGUGUAGAGGUGAAAUGCGCAGAUAUCGGGAAGAACACCCGUGGCGAAGGCGGCUCUCUGGGACGGUACUGACGCUGAGACGCGAAAGCGUGGGGAGCGAACAGG
Molecule: ribosomal RNA, 253 nt
Filed under: uncultured bacterium
Lineage: Bacteria
Description: partial 16S ribosomal RNA
Rfam family: Bacterial small subunit ribosomal RNA
Source: RNAcentral